RNAcentral lists this ribosomal RNA (490 nucleotides) under uncultured bacterium. RNAcentral describes it as "bacterial SSU rRNA". It matches the Rfam family "Bacterial small subunit ribosomal RNA", at positions 42 to 566 of the family's 1533-position model. The record is from RNAcentral.
GUGUGCUUAAUACAUGCAAGUCGAACGAGACUUUCGGGUCUAGUGGCGGACGGCUGAGUAACACGUAGAUAACGUACCCUUUACUGGGGGAUAACACCGGGAAACCGGUGCUAAUACCGCAUAAGUCUGAGACUGAGAUGUUUCAGAUUAAAGAAUUUCGGUAAAGGAUCGGUCUGCGCCUGAUUAGCUAGUUGGUAGGGUAAGAGCCUACCAAGGCGAUGAUCAGUAGUUGGUCUGAGAGGAUGACCAGCCAGAGUGGGACUGAGAACGGCCCACACUUCUACGGAAGGCAGCAGUAGGGAAUUUUGCGCAAUGGGCGAAAGCCUGACGCAGCAACACCGCGUGCGGGAUGAAGGCCUUCGGGUUGUAAACCGCUGUCAGCAGGGAAUAAAUUGACUGUACCUGCAAAGGAAGCACCGGCUAACUACGUGCCAGCAGCCGCGGUAAUACGUAGGGUGCAAGCGUUGUCCGGAUUUAUUGGGCGUAAAGA